RNAcentral lists this long non-coding RNA (3386 nucleotides) under Podarcis lilfordi (Lilford's wall lizard). Lineage: Eukaryota; Metazoa; Chordata; Lepidosauria; Squamata; Lacertidae. The record is from RNAcentral.
CCCACCUUUCAGAUUACGUGUGAUAGGUGUGAUUUUAAGGACCAAGCUAAAAAGAUUAACCGUCUGGUCCUGUAUAAGGCAAUCUCAUGCAAACUGGGUUUGAUGAGUCAGGCCUAGUCAGUCUCGCCUUCCGCCCAUUCAUCACAAGGUACCCAAGCAUUCUAGACGGGCAGAGCCCUACUUGUGUCACCUGGGCUGGUAUUUUUAGCAUCCAUUAGCACACUUUGCAAGGUAGCAUCCAUAAAUAGAGCACCAUCUCAUCUGCCCCAAAAAACAAACAAAAAUACCCUCAGUUACUAUCCUUUAUUGACACAUAUUAAACCUCAGGUUCCUCUCAUGUGCUUUGCAAUCUGAACUGUUUGUGGGGAGGGGGUUGCCCCACCAAGCUCAGUCUACCCUCAGCCAGCACCCCACCUACUUAAAUGCGCCAUUGGGGGUGAGGCCAAGCUUUUGGAAGCUUGCAGCACCUUGCUGUGGUCGCAGAGACCGAUAUGGGAGAGACAUGUUUUGUUUUUCAAAAUUUUUUAUUCAUUUUAUAACAAAUAAAAAACACAAAUAGAAAAACAAACAAUACAAACAAAUUCUUGUCAUAUCCUUAUUUUCCUAAACAUUGUUAAGUGGGCUUCCCCAAGUCCCACCUAUCUGAUUUUCAUUUUACUUCAUCUUUAGCAGUUUACAUAUAUCAUAGUUUCUAACCAUCUUUUUUUUUAUCACACUGAAAAUAACUUCACAUUUUAUUGCUUACAAAUAAUGUUAUUUUAAAAUAAACUAUCUUCUACUUCUAACCCUACAGCCUAUAUCCACUUCUAAAGCUAUUCUAAGAUUUAAAUAUUAACAUAUUUUUUCAAAUAUUCCUUAAACUUCUUCCAGUCUUCUUCCACCGUCUCUUCUCUCUGGUCUCAGAGUCUCCCGGUCAGUUCGGCAAGUUCCAUAUAGUCCAUCAUCUUCAUCUGCCAUUCUUCCGAUAGUUGGUAAAUUUUGUUUCUUCCAUUUCUUUGCUAGCAGGAGAGACAUGUUUUGUUGCAGCUGGGGCAGAUGAAGACAUCCAGUUGUGCUGCUACAGAUGCACCAGGGCGUUUGCUCUCUCUGUGUUCCUCUCAGCAGUCAUUUCUCCUCUGCUCACUGCUAUGGAUACACGACCUGACUGCCUAUCUCCAGGUACUGUGGUUGUCUGCAAGGGAUCCCCACAAGGCAGAGUUGGUGUUGCUAGCUGCCACAUCAUGUGCCAGCUGCAGACAUCUUUGUAACACGGAUGGUCUGCCAACUGGCCUGGUGCUGAAAGCCAGCUCCCCAUAGACCACAUCCUUGGGGAUCCUGCCAUCUUCCAUACUGUGGACAUGAUGAAGCCAGCGGAGACAAAGCGGAGGCACCGUAAAACCAAUCAAGGGGGUGGCAAUGGUUGUCAGCUUCCUCCUCCUCCUCUGGGUUUAUUUGUGUCCUUCAAUUACAUUCAUGCUUCUUGCUUGUCUGGAGAGAGAUGUACAUGUAUGUAGCUGGGCUGUAGCCUACUGUACAAGGGCAACAAUCACAUCCAGUGCUUCACCUGCUUACCUGCUGCAAACCAGUUGAGGGGGUGGCAGUGCCAACUUCUCCUCUGUAGCAGUGUUGCCUUUGGAGAACUUGGCAGGGAGAGUGGAGGCAAAAUUCAUUGGCUCCAACUCUACCCGCCGUUGGCUCUGACUCCACCUACUGUUGGCCUCCCUGCAUUCCAGCCCACCUGUCCCAAUGGGCCACACUCACCAUUGGUUUGUGCCCAUUAGGGAAAGUGGGCUGAAAUCCCCACCCCCACCCUGUACUAGGGAUUAAGCGCUGUGAAACAGUGGCUCAUAUGCCCAGGAUUGCACUGCUAGACAAAUAAAUUGGACCAAAUAAAUAAAAGUGCCUGUUACUGUAUUUAUAUCGUCUGCAGGAUCAAUACAACUUUAAUGAUGGAAAAAAAUGGAGCUGAAGUCUGGAACCGAAAUAAAGAGCUAUUACUCAUCUUUAGGAUAUGACUGUCAAAUGCCCAAAAGGUACUUCCUUUGUUUUUCUUUUUAAAGAACGGUUAUUCCUAUGAAUCAUGGUUAGCCUGUGGCCAGCUAUAAUUACUCAAAUGUUCACUCACCCAGUGAUCCAUCCUUUGGAGUGCUGUGCAUGUCAUUUUCUGUCUGACUUAAAGAAUAUUCCACGUUUUGCAUUUGUGGAUUUUUGUCUGGCUUUCAAGCCAUUUUAUUAUAAAUGGGAGGAGGGCAAAGUGCACUUUUACAAUCAGGCAGAUUUAAAAAAAAAAACAAAAACCAACACUGCUAUUUGCCUAGCGCCAAUGACUUUUUAUCAUUUCAAGCUGGCUUUAAGUACAGCCAGCAAAUGAUUGCUAAAAUAUUAAUCAUCCAGUCUUGUUUCAAAGCAUAGGUCAGAGAGAAGGCAUGGAGCUUGAUAGAACUGUAGUAAAGUGAAUUGACAACACAGCUUACAAUACGAAAUCCAGAAUUUUAAAAAAGCAAGACAUCAACAGGACUAUUGACAAGAGUUUUAGAUCAGAUGAGCAGGGCCUGAAACAAAACAUUGCACUGUAUCCUCAUCCCAUAACAGAAGUGCUCAUCUGUCAGCCAGCCAGCCUCUCCGUACUUGAGACUCUUAUGUAUUUGGGAAAGUCUAUUGCUUGUCUGUCUUGUUUGCCUCCUAUGUGUUUGGACACCACUCAAUCUAUCACCAACUCAGAACAAGGGUUCCUGAGGAGGCAGGGGCAAGCUUUGCUGAUGUUUGGAUGCCAAGACCAUUUUGAAUCAAGAUGGACCAAAACAUGACUUUGGCAAAACUUCAUAACAUUGGCUUGACGGGUCCAAACUCACGUAUUACACCAUCCAUUUAUAAAUCACAAUUUAUUUUUGCUUUUUAAAAAUUCCCUGGCAGCAUCAGGCACUCCCCACUUGUGUACCAUAUAUUUUGGGAAGCCGUUUGUUCUCUGGUCUGUCCACUCUGUGGGUCCUGAUGCCAGUUAUCAUCGCCAAACUCAGUAGGAGGGUUCCCGAGGUCGUGGCAGCAGUCGAUACUGGUAUGGCAGACACCAUUUUGAAUCAAGAUGGAAGACUGAAAUGUCACUGUGGGGUGACUUCACUCAUUUUUGGUGAUAGGCUUGUCCACCUCUCACUGUAUCACCACCAAACUCAACGCGAGUGUCCCCGAAGUGGAGGCAGCGCUCUUCGUCGAAGUUUGCAUGCAGGGUGCCAUUUUGAAUAAACAUGGCAGACCAAAACAUGAUUUUGGUGUGACUUCACCCAGUUUGGUGUGACAGGCCCAGACUGCAGUGAGAAAGAGCUUGCCUUAGCUUUGGGUCGACUGGCUUCAAGUAUUACAGCCGAAAGCUUGGUAUAAUUGUUCAUGUAGUUUGUUUGCUAAAAGCAGAG